UACGUAGGGUGCAAGCGUUAAUCGGAAUUACUGGGCGUAAAGCGUGCGCAGGCGGUUCGCUAAGACAGAUGUGAAAUCCCCGGGCUUAACCUGGGAACUGCAUUUGUGACUGGCGGGCUAGAGUAUGGCAGAGGGGGGUAGAAUUCCACGUGUAGCAGUGAAAUGCGUAGAGAUCCGGAGGAACACCAAAGGCGAAGGCAGUGUCCUGGGGAGUACCUGACGCUCAGGUGCGAAAGCCAGGGGAGCGAACGGG
RNAcentral lists this ribosomal RNA (253 nucleotides) under uncultured bacterium. Its description in RNAcentral is "partial 16S ribosomal RNA". It matches the Rfam family "Bacterial small subunit ribosomal RNA", at positions 524 to 776 of the family's 1533-position model. The record is from RNAcentral.